RNAcentral lists this ribosomal RNA (400 nucleotides) under bacterium S5-032-16S. RNAcentral's name for it is "bacterial SSU rRNA". It matches the Rfam family "Bacterial small subunit ribosomal RNA", at positions 64 to 512 of the family's 1533-position model. The record is from RNAcentral.
GAGCGCCCCGCAAGGGGAGCGGCAGACGGGUGAGUAACGCGUGGGAACGUACCCUUUACUACGGAAUAACGCAGGGAAACUUGUGCUAAUACCGUAUGUGCCCUUCGGGGGAAAGAUUUAUCGGUAAGGGAUCGGCCCGCGUUGGAUUAGCUAGUUGGUGGGGUAAAGGCCUACCAAGGCGACGAUCCAUAGCUGGUCUGAGAGGAUGAUCAGCCACAUUGGGACUGAGACACGGCCCAAACUCCUACGGGAGGCAGCAGUGGGGAAUAUUGGACAAUGGGCGCAAGCCUGAUCCAGCCAUGCCGCGUGAGUGAUGAAGGCCCUAGGGUUGUAAAGCUCUUUCACCGGAGAAGAUAAUGACGGUAUCCGGAGAAGAAGCCCCGGCUAACUUCGUGCCAGC